Molecule: RNA transcript, 4013 nt
Organism: Gavialis gangeticus (Gharial)
Lineage: Eukaryota; Metazoa; Chordata; Crocodylia; Gavialidae
Gene: RMI1
Gene name: RecQ mediated genome instability 1
Exons: 2
Source: RefSeq, a predicted model, not a curated record
AAAAGUGAAAACUGAGACUUGACAUUUUCCAAAGGGUGCCACAAAGCUAUCCAGGGGUGCCUCAAAGUCUAAAAAAGAUUUGAGAACUACUGCCUUAAGACAUGCAGUUAGUCAUGCAGCCUGUGUUAGCCCAGGGUAGAGCAGAUAGGAUGUUUCAACACAGUGCUGUGGAAAGAAAUGACAGGACCCUGUGAAUGGUAACCACAUUAGUACAUUUAUAAGGUUUUGGGAUGUUCUUGGUUUUUACAGUUCGGCUGGGGAGUAUUCAUAGACAUUAACAGUCUUUACUGGUCUAUGGUGGGUGGGUGUGUAUUGGGGGUGAGGAGAAUUAGGUGGGAUGUUCAGCCUGUCUCCUCACUUUAACUUCUAGUAUCUAGUGGAUGGUCUCAACCAGCUGUUUUUAUGUACUAGUCUGCCUAUUCCAAAUGGAGAGUGUAAGAAAGCAAAACUCAUGAGAGUAAUUUGUGCCACUGCAGACUCCUUGCAAGGCAGCACAAAUGUUAACUGGUACAGGUUAACAAACCACUUUUAAUUCAGCUGGAGGAAAAAGUUUGAUUGUGCUCCAGUAAGACUGGCUUCAGAUAGAACUACAGGAUGGUCUAUUUUGCUCCCAGAAUAUAACUAACCCUUAGCUGUAACGUAAUUAAAUUUAGGACAAGAGAUGUCUUUUCAGAAUCUGGUUACUCAUAAAUUUGUUUCCCUUGCAUUUAAAUAAAAAUCUAGAUCUUCAUGCAUCAUAAUGAAAUAAAAUUGAGUCUAUUAUUGGAUCUUUUUCUUUUUGUGGAUGACCUUUUAGUACUCAAUGUAACAGUAAAAUAGCCUUUUAAUGUCACUGAGGGCAUAGUAGCCAAAAAAUUGUACCAUAUGCAGACACAAUUACAACCAAGUCAAAGGGCCUGGUUUCACUCAUUUGAAUGAAUAAUAAAAACAUGUUUCUCAAUUUGAUUCGAGUCCUGGAUGUAUCUAGGUCCUACUGAUAUUUUUAAGUAGCUCUUUCCCUAUAGCUGUUUGGGAACUUUGUGCCAAAACAACUUAGAGAGGAAGAAAAAUAGUAAACUGUGACUGAGAAGAAACUUGCUCCCCCUUUUGCUAUUUAGUUUAUGGAAGAAGCAAGGUUUUCUUUUUUUCCUAGAAACUAAAAGGGGAGUUUGAAUUAUACUUGCCAGAAGCCAAGAAGAGGGUUUCUGUGGAGGGUUUCUACACUGGUAGAAGUCUGUCAACUUUCUCCCUUAAUUUUGUGGUGAGAAACUGGACACUUAGACUUCUUAUAUGAAUUGGCAUUUGUUUAUUAGCUCAAGUUUGAUUGUACUUAAAUACAUAGAACUAUUGGUUUCUUUUCAGACUUCCAGUUCUACAGGAGUGUAUUUAUAAUUGAAAGUUUUAAUUGCUUUUUUAUGUAGUCACAUUUGGAGUAGCUAAAUUAUAUAUUAAGGAGCAAACUAGAGCAUAAAUCAAAGGUGUAUUUUAUUUAGUCACUGCCAGAAAGCUGACGCAUCUCUUGUUUCUUUUUAGGGAUGUCUUGCAUUUUUCCUCCAGUUUAAAAGAUGUCUACUUCUAGUAUUGCAGCAAGAGUGCAAACCUGGCUUUCAUCUACAUGGCAUGUUAAAGUUCCUGUGACAUGGUUAGAAGCUUGCAUUAACUGGAUCCAGCAAGAAAGUGGCAGUGAUAAUUUAUCACAAGCUCAAAUAAACAAACAAGUGUUUGAGCAGUGGCUCCUUACGGAUCUUAGAGAUUUGGAAUAUCCUGUUUUGCCUGACAGUAUCUUAGAUGCUCCUAAAGGAGAACUCUCUGGCUUUUAUUCCAUACAGAUUGAUUCAUUGGUUGAUGUCAGCCAGCCUGCAUAUUCCCAAUUGCAGAAGAUAAGAGGGAAAAGCACCCUAAAUGAAGAAGUAACAGCCAACAGUCAGGCAUCCCAAAAGACCUGGGAAGCAAAGCCUACUCGAAUGCUAAUGCUGCAGCUAACUGAUGGAAUACAUCAGAUUCAGGGUAUGGAAUACCAACCAGUUCCUGUUCUCCAUAGUGGUCUUCCUCCGGGUACAAAAAUUAUGGUGCAGGGUAACAUUGCAUAUCAUCUUGGAGUUCUCUUGCUUAAACCAGAAAAUGUGAAAUUGCUAGGGGGUGAAGUGGAUGUUCUUCUACAGGAGUACAGUCAGGAAAGACUCCUUGCAAGAUUGAUUGGAGAAGCUGAGAAUCCUAAUCCUGUUGAACAACGUGAUCGUGAACAAGUUACUGCAGGACCUAUAGAUAAGUUGGGCCAAGCUAUAGGGCCUUCAGAUGAAGAGCUUUUAGCAAGUCUUGAUGAAAAUGCAUUUUCUGUAAAUGUUGAGACAGCCUUAGAAAGUGGAUAUUGUAGUAGAAGUGACCAUUCAAACACAACCACACAUUCACUUACUUCAAGCAGUGGAAGCUGUUCACAACAAAGAUUUGGGAACCCUUUGCCUGGGGCAAAUAAAGAGCCAAGUGUUCUGGCUGUGAAGUAUGUUGAUGGAGGUUUAGAUGACAUUGCAUUAGAGGAGGCUUUAUUUUUAGAAGAAGAGAUCCAACAAGAGCUAGAAGAAAUUCAGAGAGUGCAGCCUCUGGUCAAAGACAGAAAUGUAUCUGUAAUUACAGAACAACUUUCAAAUAUGCCUAGAACCUCAUGCAUUUCAUCUUUAAAUUGCAUGCCUGAAAAAGAUGGUAAAAAUGAAAGGGUUUAUAAACUUGCACAAUGUACUAGGGAACAUCAGUUUUUGGGGAGAGAAUUAUCUGUUGGAAGCAAAAGUAAUACAAAUAAUUUCUCACUACAGCAUAACGUACAGCAGACCCAUAACUUUACAGAUGAUUUGUCAUUGGAAAAUCCUUUUGAACAGGAGGCUUUUAGAAAAGUGGACCUAGUCAAGAGUGUUCAGAAACCUCAUAGCUUUUCUGAUGACAUACUUUUGACCAAUGGACAAGUUAACUGUUCAAAAAAUGAACCACAGCUUGAGAAGCAGGAGCACAAUGUAGAAGCCUUUUCUUCCAAAGCAACAGAAAACUGUAGAGGUCUUGAUUUACAUUCUCCACCUUUUACGUAUAUUACUGUGCUCUUUGCAAAUAAGCCAGAAACAGUUACAACUGUGAAACUUAAAGCCUUCAUUGUAACCCUUACUGGAAAUCUUACAAGCAACAAUGGUUUCUGGAGUGUUCUGGCAAAAAUUUCUGAUGGUACUGCUUACCUAGAGGUAAAUUUUGCUGAUGAAAUUCUAACCAGUUUGAUUGGAUUUUCAGUGCCUGAAAUGAAGAUGUUAAAGAAAGAUCCUGCUUUACAUCCAAAACUUAAGGAUGGUUUACAGCGAUGCCAAAGAGAACUAAUAGAUCUUUGCUGUUUGAUGACUGUUGAGUUUAACCCCCAUGAGUCAAAAGCAACAGUGUUAUUUCUCCAUGAAGUUGAUGCAGUAGAUCUAGAAAAUUUGAAGAAACGUUUAAACAAAUGAUUUAGGGGAUAACUCAUAUUUUCUAGGACUAAAUUCUACAAGCCAAGGAAUACUAAAGUGUUAGCUUAAUUAAAAGCACAAGUAAAGUGACUUCUCCCUUCCCUCCCUUUACUUCAGAAAGGGGCAGGUAGAAAAAUCUGGUGAGGGGGAGGUGAACAGAAAUCCAUGCCUUAGGAUAAAGGGGCCUGAUGGUAGAAAUAUAGAUGUUUAAUGGUUAGAGCUUCUGCACUGGGAAGAAGCUUUUGUUUCUCUGAAAGCAGCAUUGAUGGAUCAUUGAUAACUAAAAAAAAAUAAACUUGAAAAAAACUUUUAAAAGAAACUGACCAAAUCUGUCAUAUGUUGCCUGAAUAAAACAGCAUUUUAAAAAUGUAAUAAAGCUAAUUACAGGAUGCUGUCUGCAAUCAGUAUUAAAAACAAAUGUCUUUAUGAGUUAUCUUUCAAAAAUAUUUCUUCUGAAAUGGAUAUUUCUUAUAGAAAUAAUGUUAUUUAAGCAUUGUUUGCCUAAUAUUAAAGACUGUUCUACAUUGACAAAAACUGAACUAUAGUAAAAAAAAAAAAAAA